Molecule: ribosomal RNA, 527 nt
Filed under: uncultured bacterium
Lineage: Bacteria
Description: bacterial SSU rRNA
Rfam family: Bacterial small subunit ribosomal RNA
Source: RNAcentral
AAUAGAUACCCAGGUAGUCCACGCAGUAAACGAUGAUUACUAGCUGUUUGCGAUACACAGUAAGCGGCACAGCGAAAGCGUUAAGUAAUCCACCUGGGGAGUACGCCGGCAACGGUGAAACUCAAAGGAAUUGACGGGGGCCCGCACAAGCGGAGGAACAUGUGGUUUAAUUCGAUGAUACGCGAGGAACCUUACCCGGGUUUGAACGUAGGGAGACAGGAGUGGAAACAUUCUUUUCAGCAAUGACUGCCUACGAGGUGCUGCAUGGUUGUCGUCAGCUCGUGCCGUGAGGUGUCGGCUUAAGUGCCAUAACGAGCGCAACCCUUAUUUCCAGUUACUAACAGGUGAUGCUGAGGACUCUGGAGAGACUGCCAGCGUAAGCUGUGAGGAAGGUGGGGAUGACGUCAAAUCAGCACGGCCCUUACAUCCGGGGCGACACACGUGUUACAAUGGUAAGGACAAAGGGCAGCUACCGGGCGACCGGAUGCGAAUCUCUAAACCUUAUCUCAGUUCGGAUCGGAGUCUGC